CAGUCAGUCAGAAGAACUCUCUCAGACGGACAUCACGUUAUUAAAGUAAGUUCUAUUAUUUAUUUAUGUUCACUUUAUACGUGAUAUAUCUUCACUAGAUAGACAGUUUUUUUACAAUAUGUAGCCAUUGCAAUGACUUGUAGUAAAAAUGAGUUUGGAGGAUGUUGGUGGAAUAAGUUAACGUUACAGUCAGUCAGUCAGUCAGUCAGUCAGUCAGUAAGUGUAAGGCUCAUAAAGAAAAACAGCGUUUUAAAAAUGUCAGCUGUAUAACGUUAUUUCACGUUUGGUAGUUUUAUCCGAGUUGAAAACUGUCAGAUUUGAGUUGACUUUUGAGGCACUUUUUACUCAGUUGUUCUAUGGAAACGGUUCAGGACAAAUAAAACGCUAACCAAACGUUAUUCUGUCCAGAGUAACGUUAUCCAUGUAAGUAAUUUACCAGAUGAUAUCAAUUGACUACAUUAAUAAUGACAUUGCGUAUGAAACAAACUGUCUGCUUAAUCAGAUGAACAGACCCGCGUCAGUUAUUCGUGACUUCACUACGCCACGAGCAACACUUGAUUCUAUUAGAAAAAGCUUUUUUAAAUGCCUCGCGUGACGUCUGGUAUAUUAACUGAAAAAAUUGCUUUGAAGUGCCACACCUUAAAGCUGACGUUUUCAGAAGAGCACCUUGUUUUAAGAUCUCAUUUUGUCCAAAAUUGCGUCCUAUGACAGAUAUAAUACUUAUUUCAUUAUUGCUCUGUGUAUGUGUGACCUUCAUCAUUUGAGGUUGUGUGUUGAUUUCACCUCUGAAUAUUUCCUCUUAUAGGUCCAUCAUCCUUGCAUGCGCUACACACUCAAAAGCAUUGAUAAAUGCUGAAUUUAAAAGAAUCACUACUGUCUUAUGUUCCUGCGUGUCACCUGGACCUCCAAUCCAAAAACCUGACGAAACUCUUCUAUCAGAAAGGAGGACAGCUAGCAAAAAGACUUCAAACAAUGAAUGAUCAAAUGACAGAAGGCAUGGAUGAAGUCAGCAUCAGUGAGGUCAUUUGAAGACACCACUGUUGGGAUUUGUGCUCUCAAACAACAUGCUUCUUGUGAUGAAGAAGAGGAUCUUUGUAUAGUCCUGGAAGGCAUGAAGGUGUUGCAACAUCGUGCCAUGUUGUUUGAGCUGAUGUAUGCCUUAAACCUGAGCUAUCCUGAUCUCUGCUUUA
Long non-coding RNA from Paramisgurnus dabryanus, 1190 nucleotides. RefSeq lists it as uncharacterized. NCBI's taxonomy places the organism in Eukaryota, Metazoa, Chordata, Actinopteri, Cypriniformes, Cobitidae. The record is from RefSeq and is a predicted model, not a curated record.